UACGUAGGUGGCAAGCGUUGUCCGGAAUUAUUGGGCGUAAAGCGCGCGCAGGCGGUCCUUUAAGUCUGAUGUGAAAGCCCACGGCUCAACCGUGGAGGGUCAUUGGAAACUGGGGGACUUGAGUACAGAAGAGGAAAGCGGAAUUCCACGUGUAGCGGUGAAAUGCGUAGAUAUCUGGAGGAACACCGGUGGCGAAGGCGGCAUCCUGGACCGAUACUGACGCUGAGGAGCGAAAGCCAGGGGAGCAAACGGG
Molecule: ribosomal RNA, 253 nt
Filed under: uncultured bacterium
Lineage: Bacteria
Description: partial 16S ribosomal RNA
Rfam family: Bacterial small subunit ribosomal RNA
Source: RNAcentral